GACACAUGGCGCCCUGGGUGGGGCCAGCCUGUUGAGUGGGGUCCUUGGUCCACGCCACGCAGGGAGCGCAGGACUUGUCGGAAUCAUAACCAGCCUUCCGCACCUCCUUGCUGAGCCCAGCAGUUCAGGGCUGAGCCUUCCAAGCACCAAACACGUAAGGUCGCCAGGGAAGGAGUGGCCGGAGUUCUUUGAGGGAAGACAGCUUUGGAGAAACUGAUUUUGGGUUUGCGAACAUGUGCUGGGGCUUUUCAGUUUUUGUUUUGCUAGUUUUGGGUGAAGACUCUCUCAUUGCCCAUCUGGGAGGUCGGGAGGACGAGACCAGGCUGGCCCCCCUCUCCAGGGUCUCCAGGCAGUAUCGGGUCGUCCCCAGUGAGGGGACACCCCUCUUAGAGUGGUGCUGCCUUCCAGGUGGUGAAAAUGGCAGUUCCGGACAAGGACUUGCUUAGAGGCCAGCAAACACGGUCCCCUGUAUGUAGGCUCCUCCUCCCUGGGAGUAGGCUCCUCCCCCCAAAUGUAAACUCCUCCUCCCUGAAUGUUGGCUCCUCCCCCCACAACGAAGGGUCCUUCCUGAGUGUUGGCUCCUCCUCCCUGGGUGUAGGCUCCUCCUCUCUGAAUGUUGGCUCCUCCCACCCAACAUAGGGUCCUUCUUCCGGAAUGUUGGCUCCUCCCUGAAUGUAGGCUCCUCCUCCAUCAUAGGCUCCUCCUCCCUAGUAGGCUCCUCCUACCUAAAUGUAGGCUCCUCCCCAAAGGUAGGGUCCUCCCUGAACUUAGGAGGUGAGUGUCCACCCGCUAAAAGCUGGGUGGACCUCGAUGCAUGUAAUGAGUUCCUUUGGCUGUUUGGAAUUGUGCAGAGCCUACUGCUCUCUGCAGGGAGAAGGAACCAGAGGUUCAAUGACCCCGAGUUUUGUCUUUUUUUACAUGCAUUUUUAUAUAGUCAAUGUUUGCCUCAUUUUGUUAGUUUCUCCCAUUCCACACAGACGUGUCCAAAUGUUUGCCGAGGGACCAGAUGUUCCUGAGACAGCACCAGCUUGUUUUCAUCCCAGGCCGCCUGCCCAGAUUUAUGAGAGCGAGUCACUCAAGGGGGCCAGGGGUCUGAAAGGACCUGGGACUCAUUCAUGGGGUGAACAGGGGUGCAGGCGAAGGGGGCCUUGGAGGCUGUGGGUGACGAGGGCUCUCUCCGCUCUGUGCCUCUUCUUUCUCCUCCCGUCUUGUGUCCCCUCAAAGGCUCCUAGUUUCUGCCCUCCUCCCCCCAUAAGUCAAGCUGGCCGUAGGGGCAGCUGUAACGGCACAGACUCCAAUGCCUUUGGUGGCUCUGAGCCCCUCUUCUGGAUUCUUCUGCAGAGGGGUCAGCAGGCUCCCCUCUGGGGAGGGUCGAGUCCCCCCACUGCACUAGGAAAAGGGACAUUCAGAGCCUUGGGGUCUGGGGGAGGGGGAGAGGGGACGGGGGAGGGAGAGGAAGAUGUUUGCUUCUUGAAAGCUGUGAGAGAUCAGGCUGGGGACCUGGCGGGGGGUGCAUUCUGCAAGUUCCUCCUCCAGCACAGAUUCUGGAUGCAAAUAACCCUCCUCCAGGGCACCCCGUCCCCCCUCCCCUCCCCCGCAACACUCUGUCAGAUCCAGUUGGUCAAGGACCCAGGGAGAGUUCAGGAGAGUCGUCAGACCACCCAGCUGAAUUAGUAACCAGGUUCCAGGGAUGGACACUUGUCUUGAGGACGGAGGCGACUUUGGAGGUGGGGAGCCAGGAGGAAGGCAGAGGUCCUUUGGGAGACCAAGGAGAUGGCGCCAGGAGGCGGGAGAGGACGCGGGAAGCCCAGCACUCUUCUUGAAAAUAGCAGGUGCUGCGUAGACAUCCGGCCCCUUAACUGGCAGAGUAGCUACAGGAGGAGCAGGAGGGGAAAGCGAGGCCACUCCGGAGUGUGGGCUUCAAACACCCCCUUUUCCCAGAGUUGGGUCUCCCUGCAGCUGAGAGCCACUGUCAUUAGCUCUGCUGCAGGCCAGGUCUGGGGCUCCUGGACAGACAGGGACAGAGCCGGUGAGCCGGGGGCUUGAUCUCAGGCAGGGCAGUAGUGACCUUCCCCUGGUGCCGCCUGGAAGUGACACGUCCAGGUCUGCAAUUCCGCUCCCUGCACUGCCCCCACAGGCUGCAGCCCCCAGCCUCACCCCAACCCCCGGUGGAGGCAGCAGGGGCAGCAAGGCCAUCAGCGUCUCUGCUGCUGUGACCUGAGCUUCUGGCUGGGAUGGGGGAGGCCCUCUGGGUAGGGGUGCAAUCUGGGGCCUGUAGCACAGUUCAUCAUAGGAUUAGAUGAGGGGCUUGAAGUCAGACCUUGGGGUCUCUACUAGCAGCCCUACCCAGCUGGUUAGCCGAUAGGUUACUCCACUGUAAAUGCUGAGAUGGAGUCACCCGAAGCCAGGGGUGGCCGGUGUUCACCCUGGAGUCUCCCUGGUCAGCAUCAGGGAAAGAGAGCAGAAAACAGGUUGUGAGGCCAAACAGACAUGGUCUUGAACUCCCUCCAGGCCCCUAUCUCACCUGCGGUCUUGGGAGCUCCCCUAACCCACCUGACACUCAUUUCCAGGGUCUGUAAAGUGAAGCUGACAGUACUGACCUCAUCGUGCUCUUUGCAGAUUUAAUUAAGUAACACUAAAGUCACAGGAGGAGCGCCAGCCGGGCCUGGCCAGAAAGGGCGACUUAAAGACUGUCUCAAAACAAAGCUACCCACGCAGGGGGGGCAGCUGCAGGGCAGUGCCCACGGCAGGCUGGCCACAGCAGGGCCCAGCCACCCCAGGAGGGGGCUUGGUCAGGCCCGAGGUGGAGAGGGCUGCCUGGCAGGGACCGUGACCUUUAGUCAAGGACAGCCAGUCUGACCCAGUUGUGUAAACCCAGCAGGAGGGUGCGGGCACUGCCUGCAGGAGCUGGAGCGGGUGGAGCAGGUACGCUGUGGGCUGAAACAAGCUCCCCGGCACGGGAAGGGCUCCAGAACGAGAGCUAGGGUGAUAUGUCCCUUCCAGCCCAGUUCAGGGCCUUUCAAGUCUGGAAGGUGGACGUUUCUGGAGCCCAGGUGUUUUCGGUUCCCCAUAAAGCAUCAGUGCAGCCUGCACACACAGCACGUGCCGCGCAGUGUUUGCCGGCCAGGAAGCCGGUUCUGGAAGGGGCAUAAGGUCCUGACUGACUUGGCCAGCAAGUGUCACGUUUUGGAUUUAAUAUAAAGCGCAGUUCAGUCAGAGAGGAGGGCGCGAUACAUUUAAAUUGUACAUCACAGAUGGAGAUAGGCUGGAAAACAACAGGUCCGCUCUGGCUUUUCUUUUUUGUUGAAACACAGUUGAUUUGCGUUGUGUGAGUUUCAGUGCAGGGAAGCGAUUCAGGUCACACGUAUACACGUACAUUUUUGGUACAUUCUCUUCCCUUACAGGUUAUUCUGAGAUACUGAGCAGAGUCCCCUGUGCUGUACAGUAGGUCCUUGUGGGUUGUCUUCCGUAUCUAGAGUCGCGUGUGUAUUUCCAUCCCGUCUCCUCAUUUAUCCCUCUCUCCCCUCCCCUUUUCUGAUCCAUUUCUCAUUUUGCCUCCCCAAAGAGUUGGCAUCCAAGCGCUUCUUAGUAUCCUGUUGGCAAAAGGGCAGGGGAGUUCACCAACAGCACCCACGGAGAACCGGCUGUCGGCUGCUUUGUAAACAGAGCCCCCACCCACCCCACCCCCCGGCGCUGUCUUUGGUGCCUGAUUGGCUCUGAGGUUGCAGGGCUCUUGCCGGCAGGGGAGGCUCUGGGUGGAUGGAAGGUCUAAUAGAUCAGUGCCCUGUGCCCUGUGCCCUGUGCCCUGGGGAGUCACGCUCUUUACAGGAGGCGCUGUUCCAGCCCAGCCCGGGGCUCUUGCCCUUAGAACUGGACUUCGAGGAGGCCUAUCAGACAUUUUCCCGGGGGGCCCCCUGAGCUCCAUGGGGUGAUCUGCACACGUGCACCUGUCAAGCCCCAGAGGGGAAUGACCUUCCGCCUGGGAACCUGCUCAACCUGCUCGGUAGAAGAGCUGUAAUUUAUGCUCACUCCGUGUCUGGCCAGAUUUUUCUGGCUGCCAAUUAGCUGUUUGGAAAGGAGGGUAGAGCCCAGGUAAGACGGUCGUGGGCUGGUGGGCAUCGGCCGAAUCCUGCUUGCCGUCCUCAGGUCACAGCUGGACCAGCCUGCUCCUCCCUUUCUCAGACUAAGGCUUUGGGAACUGGCAGGUCCAGGCCCCAGGAACCUGCAUUUUUACAGGUCCCCAUGGAGGUGACAUAUGGCCUUGUUUUGGAAACAGGGUUCCUGGGAGCAAGAGCAGAAAAAGUACUUAAACAGGAUUUAAGCGUAUAAAUGCCCUCCCUUACAUGCUAAGAAACUGCUGCUUCCCCUUUGCUGCAGGGAGUUCCCGUCGUGGCGCAGCAGAAACAAAUCUGACCAGGAACCAUGAAGAUGCGGGUUUGACCCGCUCAUUGCCGUGAGCGGUGGUGUAGGUCACAGACAUGGCUCGGAUCUGGCGUUGCUGUGGCUGUGGUGUACACUGGCAGCUGUAGCUCUGAUUCGACCCCUAGCCUGGGAACCUCCAUAUUCCACGG
Molecule: long non-coding RNA, 4571 nt
Filed under: Sus scrofa (pig)
Lineage: Eukaryota; Metazoa; Chordata; Mammalia; Artiodactyla; Suidae
Description: lncRNA (ENSSSCG00055014353.1)
Source: RNAcentral